RNAcentral lists this transfer RNA (85 nucleotides) under Deinococcus peraridilitoris DSM 19664. Its description in RNAcentral is "tRNA-Leu (TAG) (tRNA-Leu-TAG-1-1)". It matches the Rfam family "tRNA". From Rfam's summary of the family: Transfer RNA (tRNA) molecules are approximately 80 nucleotides in length. Their secondary structure includes four short double-helical elements and three loops (D, anti-codon, and T loops). Further hydrogen bonds mediate the characteristic L-shaped molecular structure. tRNAs have two regions of fundamental functional importance: the anti-codon, which is responsible for specific mRNA codon recognition, and the 3' end, to which the tRNAs corresponding amino acid is attached (by aminoacyl-tRNA synthetases). tRNAs cope with the degeneracy of the genetic code in two manners: having more than one tRNA (with a specific anti-codon) for a particular amino acid; and 'wobble' base-pairing, i.e. permitting non-standard base-pairing at the 3rd anti-codon position. The record is from RNAcentral. Lineage: Bacteria; Thermotogati; Deinococcota; Deinococci; Deinococcales; Deinococcaceae.
GCGAGGAUGGCGGAACUGGUAGACGCGCUAGACUUAGGAUCUAGUAUCGAAAGAUGUGAGGGUUCAAGUCCCUUUCCUCGCACCA